UUUUUUUGAUUAAAUUUUUCUAUUGCCAUUGUCAUGUAAUUAAUUACAAAAAUUAAGGUUACAUUUAAAAUGUACUUCCCAAAUAAUAUAGUAGGAUAGAUUGAAAAUUUGUCUAGAAAAUAAAUACU
This 128-nucleotide small RNA is filed under the name Arabidopsis thaliana (thale cress). RNAcentral describes it as "ATSL151900". Lineage: Eukaryota; Viridiplantae; Streptophyta; Magnoliopsida; Brassicales; Brassicaceae. The record is from RNAcentral.